RNAcentral lists this ribosomal RNA (407 nucleotides) under uncultured bacterium. Its description in RNAcentral is "partial 16S ribosomal RNA". It matches the Rfam family "Bacterial small subunit ribosomal RNA", at positions 28 to 526 of the family's 1533-position model. The record is from RNAcentral.
GACGAACGCUGGCGGCGUGCUUAACACAUGCAAGUCGAACGAAGUGGCGGACGGGUGAGUAAUGCCUAGGAAUCUGCCUGGUAGUGGGGGAUAACGUCCGGCAACGGGCGCUAAUACCGCAUACUAUCAGAUGAGCCUAGGUCGGAUUAGCUAGUUGGUGGGGUAACGGCCUACCAAGGCGACCAUCCGUAACUGGUCUGCGAGGAUGAUCAGUCACACUGGAACUGAGACACGGUCCAGACUCCUACGGGAGGCAGCAGUGGGGAAUAUUGGACAAUGGGCGAAAGCCUGAUGCAGCCAUGCCGCGUGUGGGAAGAAGGUCUUCGGAUUGUAAAGCACUUUAAGUUGGGAGGCGUUACCAACAGAAUAAGCACCGGCUAACUUCGUGCCAGCAGCCGCGGUAAUAC